RNAcentral lists this ribosomal RNA (732 nucleotides) under uncultured bacterium. RNAcentral's name for it is "bacterial SSU rRNA". It matches the Rfam family "Bacterial small subunit ribosomal RNA", at positions 10 to 761 of the family's 1533-position model. The record is from RNAcentral.
AGUUUGAUCCUGGCUCAGGAUGAACGCUGGCGGCGUGCGUAACACAUGCAAGUUGAACGACGAUGCCAUGAAGUGGUAACACGGAGUGGUAUACGGAGUAGCGGACGGGUGAGUAAAGCAUGAGAAUCUGUCCUGCCGAGGGGGAUAACGUUCGGAAACGGACCCUAAUACCCCAUAGUCCGAGAGGUUAAAGGCAGCGAUGCGCGGCAGGAGGAGCUCGUGCCCUAUCAGCUAGUUGGUGAGGUAACGGCUCACCAAGGCUUCGACGGGUAGCCGGCCUGAGAGGGUGACCGGCCACACUGGAACUGAGACACGGUCCAGACUCCUACGGGAGGCAGCAGUGGGGAAUAUUGGGCAAUGGGAGGAAUCCUGACCCAGCGACGCCGCGUGAACGAAGACGGCCUUCGGGUUGUAAAGUUCUUUUAUGUGGAAAGAAUAAAGUGACGGUACCACAUGAAUAAGCCCCGGCUAACUACGUGCCAGCAGCCGCGGUAAUACGUAGGGGGCGAGCGUUGUCCGGAAUUACUGGGCGUAAAGGGCACGCAGGCUGUGCUUCAAGUCAGCCGUAAAAGGAUGCGGCUUAACCGUGUUAUGCGACUGAGACUGAGGUGCUGGAGUACCGGAGAGGCAAGUGGAAUUCCCAGUGUAGCGGUGAAAUGCGUAGAUAUUGGGAAGAACAUCGGUGGCGAAGGCGACUUGCUGGACGGUAACUGACGCUGAGGUGCGAAAGCC